Molecule: ribosomal RNA, 308 nt
Filed under: uncultured eukaryote
Lineage: Eukaryota
Description: partial 18S ribosomal RNA
Rfam family: Eukaryotic small subunit ribosomal RNA
Source: RNAcentral
CCCUUAGACGUUCUGGGCCGCACGCGCGCUACACUGACGAAGGCAACGAGCUUUCCUUUACCGAAAGGUACGGGUAAUCUUUUGAAACUUCGUCGUGCUGGGGAUAGAUCCUUGCAAUUUUUGAUCUUAAACGAGGAAUUCCUAGUAAGCGCAAGUCAUCAACUUGCGUUGAUUACGUCCCUGCCCUUUGUACACACCGCCCGUCGCUACUAUCGAUUGAAUGGUUUAGUGAGGCCUUCGGAUCCGCGACUCGUUUUGUGGAGAAGUUGGACAAACUCAGUCAUUUAGAGGAAGUAAAAGUCGUAACA